CAGGGUAUCAUACAAUACUAAAAGGGGAAUAAGAUCAUUAGAGAGCCUGUCCACGUAGGAUUAAAAAUUCAGGCCAAUCAAAGGAUCCCUUCCUGCCACGUCACGCUGUCUCUCUCUCUCAGCCUGCCAUGUCAACAUGUUUUUAUUAUUUCUCGACUUUUGUUUGUUAGUAAACCGGACCGGACCUAAAAAUGAGAACCUGAGACCAUUAAUCGUAUAAGGCUUUCUUAAGACAACUGGCUAUUUCAAUAUUUUUACUUUAUGUGCAUAGAAGCCCACGUUCUGGCCCAAAUAUGAUAUAAACAGAAUCUUCACUUAACGCCGACUCAUCCUCCUCUUCAUCCUCAUCUCCAUCGGAGUAACCCAACCGUUUCGACCUCCUUCAGUAAACCUUUGUAACGUUAGCGUCCCAUCUCUAAGAUUCAUAAAGCCCCAUUAUUUACUGAAGCCAUGCAACAGUUGCGAUUCUCUCAGCCUCUCGCCUUAUAUAUACCAUUAUCUCGAUUGACGAUUGAAAUCUCACAUCACUCAAUUCUUCAACGACGUCUCUCUUGGCUUGGGGAGGCGGAGCUGCGUUUCAGGUUAAUCCAUUUUCGGAAGCAAGGAACAUAGCCGAAUGAGGCAUUCUAAUUGGGUUAGAAUUGCUUAUGUUCGAUGAACUGGUUUGAAAUUGACUUUGUCAAACGAUUAUUUGCCUACUUAAGAUUUGAUUCCAGAUACUAAUAUCAUUCUACGAUAAGGUACUGUCAUACAUGGGUUUAUCUCACCUAACCGUUGUUUAGCUUUUGAUCAUCUAGGCCGAGCAUAUGCGUCAGUACUCUUUAAUGUUAUUUCUUUGGUCUUUAUCUGUUUUGUUUAGUGAGUCAAGUCAUAUUAUUAAAUGAUUAUGGAAAUUCACGCAGGUGAAAAGGAAUAUGGAAAGUGCCGUGAAGAGCCUCUAAAAGACGAGAUGGGAAGAGAUAUUGUGAUCCCUAAGCUUUUUACUCAGUAACUUAUUGUCCGACGGGUAACUACCACGUUUUCUAAACCUCUCUGUAUUGCCACAAAAUAAAUUUUCAUCUGAGGUUUUAUCUUCUUAAUAGAUUGCUGCAGGUGGUACUCACUCUAUAGUUUGACACGCGAAGGUUAUAUGUGGAGUUGGGGUCAUCCGUGACUUCCCCAUGACAUGUAUAGAUUAAAAUUAAAUGUUUGAUUUUGGUUUCCCUCUUUAUUGUAGAAAACAAAUAUUUGCUCCAGUGUUCAAGGUCCUGAAAAUUUCUGUUGAAGCAUUUCGUAAUGUGUCUCUUGAAGAAGAUGGGAGGCUCUUGGCACAACCCCUCAUCAUUUGUCCCAGUCUGAGGCCUCAAUGAUCUCACUUGAGUUUGUUUCUUUCUCUUCUUUUUAUUGAUUCAUUUUCUACUCAUUAAAACUUUCAAAAAGGGACUCUGUUGUCAAAGGGUACCACUACCUUCAGAUGCUUGAUCUACAACUUAUAUCUUUUUAAACUCAUGUUUAGGUUGAUAUUGAUGCGGGUGGCUUGCAUUCAACCACUUUAACUGUGGAGGGUUGGAGAAGAGGAGAACACGGAAGACUCGAGUUAGGUGACAAUGACCAGAUCAGCAAAAUAGUGCCACAGAAACUUAAUCAUAUCCCUGACCAAGAUAUCAUUCAGUUUGUAAAGCCUUAAAACUUUAAUUAUCUUGAAUCUCUAAAAGAGGAUCUCAUUCAUUUAAAGAUGCACUAAACUUUAAUGAUCAAUAACAUUUUUACAAAUAUGUUUCUUGCGGCUGAACA
Long non-coding RNA from Brassica napus (rape), 1773 nucleotides. RefSeq lists it as uncharacterized. The record is from RefSeq and is a predicted model, not a curated record. The transcript has 2 exons. Lineage: Eukaryota; Viridiplantae; Streptophyta; Magnoliopsida; Brassicales; Brassicaceae.